RNAcentral lists this ribosomal RNA (253 nucleotides) under uncultured bacterium. RNAcentral describes it as "partial 16S ribosomal RNA". It matches the Rfam family "Bacterial small subunit ribosomal RNA", at positions 524 to 776 of the family's 1533-position model. The record is from RNAcentral.
UACGUAGGGUGCGAGCGUUGUCCGGAAUUAUUGGGCGUAAAGGGCUCGUAGGCGGUUUGUCGCGUCGGGAGUGAAAUCCACUGGCUUAACUGGUGGCUUGCUUUCGAUACGGGCAGACUGGAGGUAUGCAGGGGAGAACGGAAUUCCUGGUGUAGCGGUGAAAUGCGCAGAUAUCAGGAGGAACACCGGUGGCGAAGGCGGCAUCCUGGACCGAUAUUGACGCUGAGGCGCGAAAGCCAGGGGAGCAAACGGG